CAAAUUAAUUCCCAUCUACCCCGUAGACUAACUCUACCCUACGCAGAGAGUCUUUCCCAUUUUCUUAGUUCGCGCAACCUCUGAACCCCCUCUCUCACUUGGUCUUCAAAUUCAAUCGCUCUCUCAAGUCUCUAACUCUUUAUCUCUCACUCUCUCAAACUCUUUGUCUCUCUGUCGCAAAAGAUCGAGGUAUUGAUGUUUGAUUCCCUGAAUGGUAGAACCUGCUUGCAUACGCUGCUUACUAUGGCCAUUUAAUUGCCUUCAAGCUAUUGUUUCUGCUACUCAUUCGAGUUCUGUUUCUGUUUCCUGGUCGGUUUCCUUUUAGUCCAUAGUGGUUUGAUCCCCUUAGUGAUUAAUCUGGCUAUUUUCUUAUUGUUGAAGAAGAAGGAAAAAAAUAAAAAUAAAAAAAACCGAAACUGGGCCGAAACCGAACCGGAUCAAACUCAGUGGGAAUUUUUUUUUUAAUUUUAUAUAUAUUUUAUUUAUUU
Malus domestica (apple) is the source of this 488-nucleotide non-coding RNA. NCBI's taxonomy places the organism in Eukaryota, Viridiplantae, Streptophyta, Magnoliopsida, Rosales, Rosaceae. The record is from RefSeq and is a predicted model, not a curated record.